UGGGCUAGAAUAGUAUUAAUAGUAUUUGCCCUCUUUUGCUAUCAAAAUUUUGACCUUUGGAUCAAUUCCUUUGAUAACUUCUAAUUAUUAGAUUAAAUAUUAUAGCCCAGUGGGGACCACUCAAUCUUAGGGGGAUCACUCAAUCCUAAAGGACUAAUAUCAUUCUAAUCCGAUAAUUUUUCAUUCAAAAAUUAAAACUUGAUAGUAAAAGAGGUCAAAUACUAUCAAUAAUAUUCCAGUCCAACUAAUUUAUCUAAAUAUUUAAAAAAUUAAAAGAAUUUGGUGAGUCCUAAGGUGUAAAAUUUAUAGUUACAUAAAGAUGUACAUGCAGUAAUUUUCUUCAUUUAAUUCCUCUUGCUUUUUUGACAGCCAACGGAGUAAUAACACAUUACAAUAUUUUUAUCCUUAAAUUUUAAUUUAUCAUAAUUUUUAACUUCUAAAUUAUUGUAGCUGAGUUUUACAAUUCAGUUUACUUAACUAAAUACUGAUGUAUCACCAAUAUGAAAGUGAUAGAAUAGCACCAUGACUAAUAAUAUUGAUAAACUGACCGUCCCUAGAGCAAGUGGCAAGGGACUUGGUGGUUUGUAACUGAGACCCAAGUUCGAAUCCUAGUUGAUUCACAUUUUCAGCUAAUUUUAUUUCUAAAUAAAAUAAACGAAGCGGGUUGCGUGCUACCUAUCUCUCAAAAAAUAAUAAUAAUAAUAUUCAUAAUAAUAAUUAAAAUAUUAUAUUAUUUCUAUAUUAGUGACUUAUCAAUAUUUAACCAAAUAAAUUAGAUUAUAAAUAUUUUUAUAAUAAUUUUAUAAAAUUUAAAUUAAUAAUUAUAAAUAAAUUAAAAUUUGAGGG
Molecule: long non-coding RNA, 846 nt
Filed under: Ananas comosus (pineapple)
Lineage: Eukaryota; Viridiplantae; Streptophyta; Magnoliopsida; Poales; Bromeliaceae
Description: long non-coding RNA (ACOM_LNC007446)
Source: RNAcentral